GGAGUCUAGCAUGUGCGCGAGUCAUUGGGACGACAAGCGAAACCUAAAGGCGAAAUGAAAGUGAAGGAGAGCCUCGAGCUCUCGGAGGGAGGAUGGGCGAAGUCCUGAGGCAACCCCGAAGGCCGGAGCCCCGCACUCCCGGGGCGUCUCGUUCUCAUCGCGAGAAGAGGCGCACCCAGAGCGUACACGCUGGGACCCGAAAGAUGGUGAACUAUGCCUGGUCAGGACGAAGUCAGGGGAAACCCUGAUGGAGGUCCGUAGCGAUUCUGACGUGCAAAUCGAUCGUCGGAACUGGGUAUAGGGGCGAAAGACUAAUCGAACCAUCUAGUAGCUGGUUCCCUCCGAAGUUUCCCUCAGGAUAGCUGGCGCUCGUAUUGUGCGCGAGUCUCAUCCGGUAAAGCGAAUGAUUAGAGGCAUUGGGGUCGAAACGGCCUCAACCUAUUCUCAAACUUUAAAUGGGUGAGAUCUCCGGCUUGCUUGAACGUUGAAGCCGCGAGAUCGGAUCAGAGUGCCAAGUGGGCCACUUUUGGUAAGCAGAACUGGCGCUGUGGGAUGAACCAAACGCGGAGUUAAAGCGCCUAAAUCGACGCUUAUGGGAUACCAUGAAAGGCGUUGGUAACUUAAGACAGCAGGACGGUGGCCAUGGAA
RNAcentral lists this ribosomal RNA (648 nucleotides) under Melanotus villosus. RNAcentral describes it as "eukaryotic LSU rRNA". It matches the Rfam family "Eukaryotic large subunit ribosomal RNA", at positions 670 to 1259 of the family's 3401-position model. Lineage: Eukaryota; Metazoa; Arthropoda; Insecta; Coleoptera; Elateridae. The record is from RNAcentral.